Long non-coding RNA from Colossoma macropomum (tambaqui), 439 nucleotides. RefSeq lists it as uncharacterized. Lineage: Eukaryota; Metazoa; Chordata; Actinopteri; Characiformes; Serrasalmidae. The record is from RefSeq and is a predicted model, not a curated record. The transcript is spliced from 3 exons.
CUUCAGCUGAGGAGAAACCGCGAACCGCGAGGAACUCAGUCCGAGGCGGAGAGAGGAAAAACACCCCGGCGCUUCACAUCUCGGCUUUUUUUGGCAGACGGGAGUGAGAAAAAUGGAAACUGAGAAUGGCACCGUGAAGAAAUAGAGACAUGAAGACUACAGUACCUGCUAAGCUACAGUAAAGGGGAGCUGAUCGUUUUCCAGCAUGUUCUCCAGAAGAUCGUGGGAGGUCAAGUGUAGAUGCAGCUGAUGCCCUGUCGAGGAAGCAAUGCCAAGCACCAAACCCCUACUGCUCUGGAUUUAGUCCAUUACAUAUUCCUGGAACCUCAGAGAAAGUAGCAUUUCCCAGUUUGGAAAAAAUCCCUCCACUGAAUGAAUAGUUUUCAUCAGGUACAUCUGAUGUGCCUCUUAUUUCUCCUCUUGGAAGAGAGAGCUUCAA